CAUCUCCACAAGGUCUAAAACACUUGUUUUGUCCUUUUUAGGCCAUGAGGAUUGACUUUCAAGACGAAAUACUUAUGGACAUUCUCAGUAGGUUACCCCUGUUUUUGAGCUUGUAGAUUUUCUCUUCAAUUACUAUGCAAGUUAUCGCACAAUGUUCAUCUUCUAGCCAUCUUAAGGAAGACAUAGAUUGAUCAAAUUUCUAUAUAACUUUUGCAAAACACUACUCUCAUUUGACAAAAACUUCUUAUAAAUACAUGCAAAUCUUCAAUUUUUGUGCAACUUAUCACACUAAUUAUAAUGUUUCCAAAGUUCUUGUACUAAUAAAGCAUGAGAUACAUGGGCAACAUACAUGUUCAAGCAUACAGUGGCGAAUUUACUGCCAAAAAAUAGGGCACCCGCACCCGUGGUCUCUUCGUAAAAUUAGAUAUUUUAUAUGUAUAUUUUUAAGAUUUUGUAUAAUAUUAUAUUCUUGCACCCGUACUACAAGAAGUCUAAAUGGUCAACAUGGUUAAAUGUUGAGGUUUUGACCUUGAGGAUUAAGGAUCAAUUCUCACUUCAAUACAUUUUACUUGGUGCACCCAUGUUCGAAAAAUCCUAGAUUCGCCUCUGCCUGUUGCCUCUUCUCCGAUUCAAAUGUGUUUCAAAAAAUUGGAAGACAUUAAUCUCCGAUCCUUACUUCAACAUGAAGCAUCAAAGACAUCACAAGAAUGACUUAAAUUCCCAAAAACUUCUUGUUGCAGUGGAUAAGGUUACC
Molecule: long non-coding RNA, 754 nt
Filed under: Solanum tuberosum (potato)
Lineage: Eukaryota; Viridiplantae; Streptophyta; Magnoliopsida; Solanales; Solanaceae
Description: long non-coding RNA (STUB_LNC001249)
Source: RNAcentral